GUCACGGUCCAAAGGUGUUAGGACCAAGGACCCCCAAAAUUGGAAGGAAAAUUGGCUUUACGGGUUGUUAGAGCCAAUUCUGCAUUUGGGCCUGUGUGGCAGCCCAAAUGAAGUUCAACGGGCUUGUGCUGCUGGUUGCAGGGGAAAAAUGCCAACUGGGGCAGAUUGGCCAGCAGACAGGUUGAACGGGCCCGUGGGUGCCAGAGGUGACUGGCACUGUUGGGGAAAACAGGCGGACUUGCGGGCCAGGAGGGCUAGCAAGCGAGGUUCACUUGGAGACUGGGCCAGGCGUGGAGCCCAGCAGGCCAGACGGGCUGGCAAAGGCAAUGGAGGCAAUCUGGCGAGUGGCAGGCCCAACAGGGUGCAAUUGGGCCAGCCCAGCACGGGGGAAGGUGCUGGAAGCCAGGGGGCGUCGCCAGAUGGAAGAAGGUUCAAUGGGGCUGGAACAUUCGAGAAGGUUCCAGGGGCAUCCGGAGAUGUCCAGGCGCAGAUGAGGUUCAGCGGGCACGCUGGUAGGCCGCGCGAGGCUGGCGGGCCGAGCG
Molecule: long non-coding RNA, 542 nt
Filed under: Manihot esculenta (cassava)
Lineage: Eukaryota; Viridiplantae; Streptophyta; Magnoliopsida; Malpighiales; Euphorbiaceae
Description: long non-coding RNA (MESC_LNC004991)
Source: RNAcentral